This 73-nucleotide transfer RNA is filed under the name Podarcis lilfordi (Lilford's wall lizard). Its description in RNAcentral is "tRNA.Ala". The record is from RNAcentral. Lineage: Eukaryota; Metazoa; Chordata; Lepidosauria; Squamata; Lacertidae.
GGGGCUGAAGACUCAGUGGUAGAGCACGUGCUUUGCAUGCAGAAGGCCCUAGGUUCAAUCGCCAGCAUCUCCA